UUUUUUUUUUUUUUUUUCUUUCUGGGUUUUCACUAUAUGAUAAAAAGUGGGAACUCUUUGUAAAUUUUUUAUUCAGAAUAUAUCCGGUCAUAAAAGUCUGUAAAUUGAUAAGUUUGUGACACAUGACGACCUUUCUUUACCUUUACAACUGUUAAAGUUUUAGUCAUGUCCACUUGUGUUGUCGUGGAAGGUGUUGACAUGACGUUAUACCUUCAUAACCCCCAUGUGUCAGUUGCACUCACUGUCAGUAGCCAAUCCAUGUUCGCUUGAAUUGUGACAUCGAAAGAGAACAUUGGUAAAUUAUUAGCAGAAAGCUUGUUCAUUGUAUUGACGUAUUGUGCUACUAGGGAGCGGAGAGGUAGGCAUCAUUUGCUGUUCAAAUGGCCAGAUCUUAGGAACAUUAUCGGCCAGCAUUUGUCUGCUUACUUUUUAAUUUAUUUGAACUGCUAGGAACAGGCUAUUCUCUUUUCUUGAUCACGUGUGGCAUUCGUGAUUCAAAUGUUAAUGAAUUAAAACUUGUAACCUCACUUGGACACAACUAUUCAAUUAUUUACGGUCUGGUGGGACACAAUCUAACAUCGACUGCAUACACACUUUGACAACUCCCUAACACUGGUCACCAAACCAGCUUGCUGGGUGGAAAACAAUUAUUUUGAACUUUUUGUAACACUAUAAAUUAGGUCUUCACCUUUUUUUCUACUCUUGUAUUAUAUUACCCUAAUCAACUUCGUAAUUAUCAUAGUUUAUAAAAAUGUAAAGGUACCUUAAAAAGGCUCACUGGCCACUUUACGGCAUCGGCUUUACCUCAACCGGGCCUCAUGCAGAAAAGCCCAAAAUACCAGACAAAGUUAAAGUGCCUUGCAAUGUAAGUCCAUAAAAAAUAUUAUUGCACAAUCUGCUUUUCAUAGAUGUCUUUCCAUAAUGCGUUCUUAGUAUCAGUUUUGUCAAGUUGUGUAAAUGUUAUGGUCAAACCCCUUCUUUUUAAGUAACCUUGACCCACUUAUUUAAGUUGGCUAUCAUUCAGCUUUGGAGUUAGGAUCUUAUGAUCAAAGAGUUGUGCGUGCUUCUCUGAGUGGGUUUCCAUGUAGCUGGACCACACCUCUAACCUAAACCUAUUAAAUGCUUUACCUUGUUGCAUGUGACGUGAGUCUUGAGAUGAUGGUUCAAGGUUCUUCACCAAUCUCUCAUUUUACACUAAAAUUUAAUUAAGGAUCCUGCAGAAAUAAAAUAUUAUCAAUAACUAGAAAGUUUAAUUUAUUAAAAUCUGGCAAAAAAAAAAUUAUCUGUUACUUUUCAUUUUCAAAUUAAUGGUGGUCUAGAUGUGCUAGUUUGUUUUCAUUAUUUGGCAGGCAAGUGACUAACCUAUUCAAAUAGCUGCAUUUUAUUAAUAUCAGUUUAUAACAUUUUGGCAAAGGCAAUGAAAUGAAUGAAUGGAUAUCUCUGCCACGCGUCACAUGUGCACAGAUUUCUAUGAUAUCCAUGGGAAGCAUAGUAAACGGCACAGUCCUUCGCAAAUGGGUCCCUAUGUUUGUUUAAGAAUCUUGCAUCUACUCUCCUUUUCAUGCGCGUGCCUGUACACACUUUUUUUUCCUUCCCCGUUCUCUCCUUUACAUUCUUUAUUCAAUUCAAACAUGGUAAAAUGAUAAGUAAUGUUUAAUCUAUUGAAAUAUAAAAUAUUCAUUAGUACAAAAUCAUCUUAUACUCAACUUCCACAUUCUCCUACGUAGCUUCAAUCACCACCAUCAGUCGUGUCUUCGUCAACGGCUGUAAACAACUCAGUUCAUUUCUUGAAACUAGCUCAUGUAUUCCAUUGUUAAAAAGAUGGUACUCUGAGUAGUAGACAAAAAAGUUGAAAUAUUUGGUGAAAACAUAGAAGAAUAUGGUGAAAUGCAGCGAAAGGCGCGUGGAGUAAAAGGAAAGCAGUGGUGAGUGAGAUAGGGGAGGAACAACUUAAAGGAUGAUUGGAGGCAAUGAAAUUGUUAAAGCUUAUAUCGUGUGGUCACGUGCGGUGCACCUUCCUCCUUCUUCUUUUCACCUCUCCCUGUCUUAUUCCCACGUGACGUCUUUCACGCACACCCUUCUUCUAUCUUCUUAUUUCGUAUCUGCCACUCCCACCCCAUCAUUUCUUCAUUUCCAAAUAACAUAUUAUUAUUUUACCAUCUUCUUAAUGUGCCCUGACAAAUUAUGAGAAGUCUAAAAAACAAGACAUAAUAACAAUAAUAGUGUGUUUGUAUUGUGAAAACAGAGAGAGAAAGGUGAGAAAGCAAAAAAGGCAGGCAUUUGCUACAGACAGACACUGUAGCAGAAGAGUACAGGUUUUUGGUUAUUUAGUAUUUACAUUUAGACUUACAAAACAAUAGUAUUACCACUGCACCUCUCAGUUCUCACACCACACGGAUGGACACAUGAAUUCUGUGAAAGUGUCAUCAACUUUUAUAUUCCCAACACCCCAUUUUCAUUUUCCUUCCUCUCCUUCUAUCAUCUAUCUGCCCACGUUCCUCCUCACACUCUUUUACUGCCUCCUACUACCUAUCAUUAUAUCUUUAUAAUAUUUUGGCUUAAUACCUCCCUCGGUCCUCGUAUUUGUGUGAAAAUCUCAGUUCGGUCUUCAAGUUUUGAACUGUCUCAAUUGGGUCAUAAUUUUUGUAAAAUUACACACAUUUUACUCCAACAGUUAACUGAUCUCAAACGGCGUUAAGUUUAGCUGACGUGUUGGCUUAAUCCCUUCUUGGUCCUCGUAUUUGUGUGAAAAUCUCAGUUCGAUCCUCAAGUUUUGAAGUGUCUCGAUUGGGUCAUAAUUUUUGUAAAAAUGAACACAUUUUACCCCAAUCGUUAACUGAUCUCAAACGACGUUAAGUUUAGCUGACGUGGUAGCCAGAAGACAUGCUGAUGUGUAUUAUUUAAUUAUAUGAAUUAUUUUUUAAAAUAAGCAGUGUUUCACGUGGCAUAAUGCCUACUAUUUAGUUUAUUUGAAUUAGGGAUUUUAUUCAUCUCUCUGAGAAUCAGGGAUUUUACACAGAUUAUCUCGUCGGCUCAAAAAAUAAAGUCACCGGAAAACUCGCGUAACCAGUGCAAUCAGUCUCACAGUCUUUUCUGCAAAUGAACCAACUUGGUAACGUAUAGGUUCAUCACCAGCCUUUAAGCUAUUUAUUCCACUGAUAGCAGAAGAUAACUGUUGCACAGUGAGAUCAGUUAGUGAUUGGGGUAAAAUGUGUGCAUUUUUACAAAAAUUAUGACCCAAUUGAGACAAUUCAAAACUUGAGGACCGAACUGAGAUUUUUACACAAAUACGAGAACCAAGAAGGGAUUAAGCCAACACGUCAGCAUACCACGUCAGCUAAACUUAACGCCGUUUGAGAUCAGUUAAUGGUUGGAGUAAAACGUGUGCAUUUUUACAAUGACCCAAUUGAGACAGUUCAAAACUUGAGGACCGAACUGAGAUUUUCACACGACCAAAGGAGUUAUUAAGCCUAAUAUUUUUACAUCUCAAUUUAGAUCACAUACACGUAUUAUCUGCAUAUUUAUUCUUCACCUUUGUUCCAACCAUUUCCCAUCAGCCCCCUCCAUUAUUGUAUUAUAAUACACAUUGCAUCAAUCUUAUAAAAACGGGAAAUCUUGACAGCUGAAUUAACAAAAUUGAUGAACAUGUUAUGCAAUAGUUUCGUAUUCAAGAAAACAAUUCAAAAUUAAUAUGAAUAUAUUUUUAUAGACACUUCACACUUUUUUCUUUCUUUCUUUCUAUCACGUUAUAUGGUAUUGCUUAUUGUAUUUAUUAGAUACAUCUACUGUAUUCUUCGUCAUAUUUCUAGUUUGUGGGCAUUAAUUACGUAUUAAGAAUACAAGUAGCAAAGCUAAUCAAAUUAUUAUUUGAGAGAUUUCCUUCACAUUCAUUGCGGCUGAUAAUGCUUAUGAUAUUGACAAAUACAAUACCGUUAGGUGGGCUUUUCUAUUUUUUUUUUUCGCUCUCAUAAAUAGCCGUUGGGUAGGUUUUGUUUUACAAGUUUUAUUGGUUGUUGUGUUUGCUAGUUGUUGGUUAAGAUUAUGGUACCAUAAUUUGGUAGUGUGCUAGUGUUUUCACAUAGGUUUUAUUAAGGCAAAAGCUAUCUAUAUUUAGGAGGUAAAAAUCCUAUUAUAUCCAGAAACUAUUUUGGAAAAUUUUAACAAUCAUGAUCUAAAAUAGCAGCAUUGAUUUUACCGAAACGUCUAAUAAUAAACAGAUAUAUUAUUCACAACAUGAGUCCAAAAUCUCCUUUAUGCUAGUCUUACAAGAAUAUAAAUUCUUUAUCUAUUCCUUUUCCUGUCAAAAAUUUCUUUUCCACACAACCUUUCUUUUUCUAUUAUUUUCCCACUGCUUUCUGUCUUUACCAAAGUUGUUGAUCUGCCAAAAGUCUCGUGCACGCAGAUGAUUUUUCCCCUUUUCUGCUGAACACGGAGGCGAACCUUGAGACUUGAGUACUUCACUAAUAACAAGUAUCAUUCAAGAUUCAUCUCCCUCUUCAUUUCACCAUUCCCAAAUACCAAGUGCUCCCUCGAAUCUUCCCAUCCUUAGAAGAAACCACUUGUGAAUUGAUGAAUCUGGGGGAAUGGAUUAUUAUUCCUCCGCAGUGCAUGGUUGCGAGAUUAUGUAAAAAAAAAAUGUGAAAAAUGAAAGUAAGUUUUAUUUUACUAAGAUACAGAACUUAAUUGAGAAUAUGUGUGUAAGAAAUAAAAAAUAAAGAAAAAGCACCAAUUGGCAACAAGACCCUACCCUACACUCUAGCCACAGUGGGUUACAUUUUGAUAAAGACAAACAGCAUUUCGUCAUCUUCCAUUAAACACUUUCCUCUCUCUCAGUAUCUCUCUCUUUCUUUCUCUCUCUCGUUCUAUCAGACAGACUCUCACUCACAACUCACAAAUAGUAGCCACCUUGCAAUCUGUUACUGAGGAUAAUAGACCACUCCACCUCACAACCAAGCAACGCUAAGCAAUCUUUCAUUUAUUGACUGUGCUUUUAUAGAGCUACCAUCCCAAAAAUCAACUCUUGUGUCACACAAUGGCCAUGCCAUGACUUGGCAAGUGUUAUUCUGAAACCAAAUAAAAAGAAAAAAGAAAAAAAUGGAGACAGAUAGAGAGAGACCCCAUCGCAGCACAAGUAGCAAUAGCAGUAGCACAAGUGAGUUGUUUGUUUGCUUCACUUCUCGUUUGUCCUCUUCAUCCAUGAAGCUCUCUUCUAAGUCCAUUCUCAGCCCAAGCCGCAGCAGAGACCCUCCUCAGAUUUCCCUUUCUUCUUCCCUCAGCAGGAGGCUCAAGAGCAAUGGAAGCAUGAAAGGAGGCCAAGCCUCUCCCAUGUUCCCAACUGCUGGCAAGAGAAGAGGGUGUGGCUUUGAGAACCCCGAACCUUCUUCUCCCAAAGUCACUUGCAUCGGCCAGGUGAGGGUGAAGACCAAGAAGCAAGGAAAGAAGAUAAGGGCAAGGUCUAAGAGGAGGGGGGAGGCUAGCUUUAGGAAGGGUGAACAAGGUGGUGCAAAUGCCAAUGGAAAUGGAAAUCCUAAUGCAGAUCUAACUAGACAAAACAGCCAAGGGUUUCAGCAUCACCAGAACUGCUUGAAGCAUCGGAAUCAGAGAUGGGUGCAUCUCCCCUUGACAAUAUGUGAGGCCUUGAGAGAGUUCAGCUGCUUCUUUCCUUGCAGGUCUUCUUGCAUGUCAAGUGAGAAGGAGAAGGAAAAGGGUGGUGGAGUGGAAGGGGGAGGACUUGUGAGAGAGGGUUCGUGUGGGAAUGGACUUGGAAGGUGGCUGGUGGCUUUGCAGGAUGGGGAUGGGAAGGGAAGGGGGAUUGAGUUAGUGAUGGAGGAAGAAAUGGAGGAUGGAAGAGACACAGGUGAGAGGAGCCACAGCCAGAGGAGGCAUGUGUUUGAAGACAUCGAUGUUGAUUUGGUGGUAGGAGAGGAAGAAGAGAAGAAGAAUGAUGAGGUGGUAGGAGAGGAAGAAGAGAAAGCAAGAGUUAGCAUAUGUAUUCCUCCGAAAAAUGCUCUUUUAUUGAUGAGAUGCAGAUCUGAUCCAGUCAAAAUGGCAGCUCUGGCUAACCGUUUUUGGGAAUCACCUGUUCACAUAAAUAAAUGUCAAGAAGAAGAGAAAGAAGGGGAAGAACAUGAUGAAGAAGACAGUGGGGAUGAAGAUGAUCAAGAAGUAGAAGAUGACGACACAGAGCAACCCAUCAAAGUGAAAGAGGAUGAGCAACAAGUACAAGAAGAAGAAGUUGAAAGAGAAACCAAAGAAGAUACUAUUUGCGAAAGAGAAACAGAAACUAUUGUGGUGGUCAGUGAAGAAGAAGAACAACAAGCGGGGAAGGAAAGCUAUGAAGUUGAAAGCGUAGCAAACAUAGAAAGCAGAGAGUUUCAUGAAGUAAAAGAGGACGAAGAAAAGGGUGACCAAGAAGCAAAUGAAAAUACCAUAGAAAAAGGUGAAACUUUAACACAUCCUGAAGCUCAUUCAGAUCUGGACAACCUUAAAACCGAAGAAAAAGAGAUUAAUCUCCAGGAGGGUAAAGAAGAAGUGAGCGAAAACAACGAAAGCUCAGAACUUUCUUCCACCCCAGAAACGUUCACAGCUUCAGAACCGGAAAACGACGACGGAGAGCCAGAAACGGAAGCAGUGACGACCGAAACUUCAGAAGGGUCAACGGAGGAGGAAGAAGAGAAAGUGACUACGGAGACUGAAAGUCAAGAUCCGACCCAUGACCCGAAUUCAGAUCCACAGUCAAAGGAGCGAGAAAAUGGGUCAAAAUGCGAAGAUAGAGAAAGGGAAACGUUGCCGGAGUGCUUGUUGCUGAUGAUGUGCGAGCCGAAGCUGUCAAUGGAGGUGUCCAAGGAAACCUGGGUGUGCAGCACCGACUUCAUACGGUGGCUACCAGAGAGGCCUGCCGCCGCAGGAGCCGCCAAAAGGCUGACUGGAGAGACCUUUACGAAGACCAAGCCAAAGCCGAAGCCUUCUCCACCGCUGGUGCAGCCACCACGGUCGUCGUGCUCGUUCCCGGCGGUUGGCGGCGCCGCCGGAGUGUCAAUGGCUACAAUGAUUGAGCAGAAGCUGGUGGGGUCCAAAUCAGGUAAUGGGUACGAGCCAUUUGUGCUCACGCGCUGCAAGUCGGAGCCGAUGAGGUCAUCGGCUAAGCUAGCUCCGGAGGCUUGCUUUUGGAACAACAGGAAGCUUGAGCCGCAUCCACCCGCCGCUCAGCUUGGGGUCGGCGCGCCGGCUGGUGUUGGGUUUUGAUUUUCAUUUUAAUUCUCUCUUCCUGAAAAAUCUCAAAUUUCCCUUUUUUUUUAAUUGACAGAAUAAUCAACUGUUGUUAUUAUUAUGUGUAGAUUACCUCUAAACUUUGGGCUGCUUUGGUAAACUAGGAUUUUGAUUAUACUCCUAUUUUGGUGUUUUUAGAAUGUAAUCUUUGUAUAAAUAGUUUUAGUGAUGCUAUUUGUUUUGGGGUCCAUUGUUACUCGUUAGUGAGUUUAUAAUAAGAGUUUUAAUUUACUUGUGCAUUGUUAACUAGUAAUUUGAUAUAAUCUUGUAUUUUUACUUCUGUGAUGGUUGGUAUAUUUCUUAGUUGGAACAUAUUAUGGAAGUGGUUGAAGGAUUGAAGUAUGUGUAUAUGCGUGCUCUUGAGGGCAUCAAGAAAAAGUGAAUGGGACAUUUUGUUAAGGUUGUUGUGUCUGCUUGUCUAAUGCCAUAAUUAGGUUGGAAUUCCUGUGGACUUUGGUCAAUGGUCGUUCAUCGUUUUAAAGAACUACAAGCUUCUGUAAUGUUCAUAGUAGUUGCAUGUGUAAUAGGGAAUUAAAUUACAGGAAAACAGUCAAACCACAAGUUUGACUAGUCAUUAGUGAAAUGAAAUGAUUUUUUCCAAUAAUAUCUGCCAAGUACAGAUUAUUAAUGAACUUCAUAAAUAGUAGCAAUUGAUUUUGAGAUAAAUAUUAGUUAAUAGCUUAGUCACAGAGGUUUUGAAAGGAACUGAAGGAAGGAUAAGCUGUAAAGUUGGCAUUUUGUCUUUCUCUAAAACUGUUUCCUCAGUCAAUAAUGCAGUCUGCAGUAGAAUCAGUUCCCAAGGAAGCAAAACUAUAGUAUGAUUAUCUCAUGCAAGACAAACCCAAACAUAACAAAGAAAGCAAAUCAUGUUUAUUCAUUUAAUUUACUCCUUAGAUUCACACUCUUUGAGGCACCUUUGGACUCAAUAUCAUUAAAAUUUGAGAGAUUAUAUUCAAUUUACUUCAAAUAGCUUUCUUUCAACAAAUACAUACUAUUUCAAGUAAAAAAUUUGAACUAAUUUAAAAAUUAAGAUCUAUGUAAAAAGCUGAUUUUUUUUUGGUUGAUAUGAAAUGAUAUUAUGAUUAAUAUACAAUAACAAGUGAAUUUUAUUAUUUUGUUAAAUACGUGUUAGAAAACUAUAUAAUUAUAUUUAUCAAUUAGUUUUAUGUUAUUACUUACCAUGAUGGGAAUAUUAACCUGUAGUUUUUACAUUGAUUACAAUAUAAUUUUAUAUUAACAAUAACAUUUCAUAUUUUUUUAACACGAUUGAUGAAACAAAAUAACAAUCAAUUAAAAAAAGUAAAACAAAACAAACCUCAAUUAAAAGUAUAAUUUUUUAAAUAUUUAAUAAACUAAUACAAUUUAAUAGGAAUUCAAUUAAAAAUAUCCAAAUAUUGUUAACUUAAAACUUAACCUAAGCACUUAAUGUAAGAUGAUUACACAAUAGCUAGUUUCAAAAUGUACUCCUCAACAUGUUUUAUUUUGGUAUUGACCCCUUUUCACAAUCAGCAGCAAAACAAGAAAAGUAAUUUUUUUCAUGUAUUAACAUGAAUAAGAAGUGUUUAUAAGUAUGUUAAACCGUGAGAGUGGAUUGCUUCUUGGUUAAGAAGUUUGAUGAUGAGAAAAAGGUAGUUGUGAUUGGGAAUCUUAAGUUGAAAAAGGACGAACAGAUAAACACAAUGGAAGCUGCUAACAUAAAGUGUUUUUUUCUGCAAACUUUUUGAACAAGUUGAAAAUGGUGUAGGGAAUGGGAUAUACACAUUUCUCCUUGGCACAUGGAUACCACAAAAUCAAUAAUGAAAUAGACCUUCCCAAACCCUAUAGAUGAAACUAUUAGUCAAAGGUAUUUUUUUUUUUUUACGUUAACAACUUUUUUUAACAACUUUUAACAAUAGAUUAUGUGUCAUUAUUUUAUUGAUAUGUAUAUUUAAAACGGAUAAAUCACGAACUAUCAUACAAUACAAAAUGAUUGUAAAAAAACAUGUUAAAAAAACUUUUUCCUUUUUUCAUACAUUAAAAGUUACUUCUUUUUAAAACCACAUAAGUACUAUAUUUUACUUAGGAAAAUCUCUAUAUUGUCUAUGUGUAAAAGCAUGUUAUUGUCUAUUCAAUUUUUCCUUGUGUGAAUGGCCAAAAUUUAUUUUUGGUAAACAUUAUUUUGAUCUCUUGUAUAUGAUUGAAUAAUUAAUCUAAGACUUUUUAGCAUAUUAUUGAUUCCCCACUUUUGGAGAAAGAGAGAAUAUGCAAUGUCUCCCACCAAUUUCCACCUAUGACCUAUUGAGAAAUACUUUUUUAGUGAGAAUAAAAAAUGUUUUAUAAUAUUUAUAUAGAAAAAGUGUACAAUAAUUCUUUAAAUAAAAACAACAAACUAAUUAAUUGCUUUUACACUUUAAAUGUUUUUCAUAAUUUAAAAAAUAAAAUGACUAAAUUAAUACUAGUUUAAUCUACUUAUUUUUAUUCAUCCAAUAUUAUAACUUUUUACAUUUAUUUUGAAAAAAUAUUAUGGAAACAACAAUUUAACCUUAACUCUAUUUAUUAUUGAAUCUUUUGAAAGGAAUAUAUAAUAUUAUUAAUAACCCAUAUAAAAUAAAGGAUUCCUUAAGAUAAACAUAUACAAUGAAAAAGAGUUAUUGCAUGAAAAAACAAAUAGUAAUGGUAUAUUUGAUAGGGAUAAUACUAACCAUAAAAAUUACUGAGUUUGAAGAUAAUGCAAAACUGGACUACUGUACUUCAUAUAAUCGAUAACCACAAUGAUUGGCUCUAGCAGCUAAAGUUGAUGAUGUGGGAAAUGUUGUUACACAGUAUACAGUAUAAUAACAAGAUUUAUGUCCAUAGUUUGAAGUUAUAGGUAAGAAAAAAAAAGAGGGAUGUGGUGAAGAGGUGAGGAGAAGAGUAAGCGCGAAUCAUUCAUCCAAUAAUGACGGCACCACUACCUCGAACCCCUCCUGGUUCUAUCAUGGAUAUCAACGCAUUUAAGGCAUCAAUGUUUCUUUGUUUAGUGACCCGGGGAAAACACUGGUUAAACACCCCGUAUAUCAUCUGACCCGUUUAGGGUUUAACAAAGAAUGCAUUGUACCCGACCCCACAUCCCGUGUACGCAAGUCUUUCAAAUGACCAUAUAUAAACCUGUGUAAAUAGUGAGAUAUUUUCGAUGUGGUACUUACAAAUUCGAGUUUUCCUAGUCCUAAAGUCUUAAUUCUGUUUAUAGUAUCUCCCAC
RNAcentral lists this long non-coding RNA (10487 nucleotides) under Vigna radiata. RNAcentral's name for it is "long non-coding RNA (VRAD_LNC004308)". The record is from RNAcentral. Lineage: Eukaryota; Viridiplantae; Streptophyta; Magnoliopsida; Fabales; Fabaceae.